RNAcentral lists this small nuclear RNA (133 nucleotides) under Penicillium steckii. Its description in RNAcentral is "U4 spliceosomal RNA". It matches the Rfam family "U4 spliceosomal RNA". Rfam says of the family: U4 small nuclear RNA (U4 snRNA) is a component of the major U2-dependent spliceosome. The structure of U4 snRNA from yeast and human has been reported. Lineage: Eukaryota; Fungi; Ascomycota; Eurotiomycetes; Eurotiales; Aspergillaceae. The record is from Rfam by way of RNAcentral.
AUCCUAGUGCACGGGUUUUACGCGUAUCAGUGAGGAGAAAUCCGAGAUCGUGUUUUUGCUAGUUGAAAACUACCUACGUGACCACUCCAGAUGGCCUUAGGGUCGUCUGGGAAUUUUUGAACAACUUAAGUUG